AUUGAACGCUGGCGGAAUGCUUUACACAUGCAAGUCGAACGGCAGCACGGACUACGGUCUGGUGGCGAGUGGCGAACGGGUGAGUAAUGUAUCGGAACGUGCCCAGUCGUGGGGGAUAACGAAGUGAAAAUUACGCUAAUACCGCAUACGAUCUAGGGAUGAAAGCGGGGGAUCGCAAGACCUCGCGCGAUUGGAGCGGCCGAUACCAGAUUAGGUAGGUGGUGGGGUAAAGGCACACCAAGCCAACGAUCUGUAGCUGGUCUGAGAGGACGACCAGCCACACUGGAACGGAGACACGGUCCAGACUCCUACGGGAGGCAGCAGUGGGGAAUUGUGGACAAUUGGCGAAAGCCUGAUCCAGCCAUUCCGCGUGCAGGAUUAAGACCCUCGGGUUGUAAACUGCUUUUGUACAGAAAGAAAAGGUUUCUACUAAUACUAGGAGCUCAUGACGGUACUGUAAGAAUAAGCACCGGCUAACUACGUGCCAGCAGCCGCGGUAA
Molecule: ribosomal RNA, 500 nt
Filed under: uncultured bacterium
Lineage: Bacteria
Description: partial 16S ribosomal RNA
Rfam family: Bacterial small subunit ribosomal RNA
Source: RNAcentral